GAUGAACGCUGACAGAAUGCUUAACACAUGCAAGUCCACUUGAACUUCGGUUUGGGUGGCGGACGGGUGAGUAACGCGUAAAGAACUUGCCUCACAGAUAGGGACAACAUUUGGAAACGAAUGCUAAUACCUGAUAUUAUGAUUAUAUGGCAUCGUAUAAUUAUGAAAGCUAUAUGCGCUGUGAGAGAGCUUUGCGUCCCAUUAGCUAGUUGGAGAGGUAACGGCUCACCAAGGCGAUGAUGGGUAGCCGGCCUGAGAGGGUGAUCGGCCACAAGGGGACUGAGGCACGGCCCUUACUCCUACGGGAGGCAGCAGUGGGGAAUAUUGGACAAUGGACCAAGAGUCUGAUCCAGCAAUUCUGUGUGCACGAUGAAGUUUUUCGGAAUGUAAAGUGCUUUCAGUUGGGAAGAAAAAAAUGACGGUACCAACAGAAGAAGUGACGGCUAAAUACGUG
RNAcentral lists this ribosomal RNA (454 nucleotides) under uncultured bacterium. RNAcentral describes it as "partial 16S ribosomal RNA". It matches the Rfam family "Bacterial small subunit ribosomal RNA", at positions 28 to 507 of the family's 1533-position model. The record is from RNAcentral.